Molecule: long non-coding RNA, 1716 nt
Organism: Nothoprocta perdicaria
Lineage: Eukaryota; Metazoa; Chordata; Aves; Tinamiformes; Tinamidae
Exons: 2
Source: RefSeq, a predicted model, not a curated record
CCAGACACAGCCCAAGACCUUGGGCCUCCUUUGGAGCCUGCCCUUAAAGGAAACCAGCUGCGAACAUCAAAUGCCAAGGAGCUAUUAAUAGACACGUGUACAGUAUGUAAAAGCCAACGAGCGGCACUUUCCUUCCCCCGGAGAGCCCCUUCCUGACUGCAUCGCGGCAGCAGAGGGGCCCGUUGCAGCCCCCUCCGCCGUGCGCGUAUUUAUGAUGCCCAGCGAAGCUCUGUCGUUGCAGAUGUCUUGAGAAAUUUGCUUGCUGUAACCCGCAUUUUACUGCUCCCGCCACUCGGGCUGCUCCUGCUUGGAGCUGCCGGAGCCACCACCUGGCCAGGCCUCCUGGAAUCCCUCGGAGCGAAAGCCCGGCCUCCUCAUGCGUUGCGCACUCCGUGCUUCCCGUGUAAAGAGAUAUGGGUUGGGGGACUAAAACAAAGACAAGACCUCCCCGCAAGGACGAGCCUUGCUGGCAGCGCUGCCGUGCCUCAGACGCGGAGCCCGCCGGCAGUGUGUGCUGGCCGCGUGCCGGGCCAAAUGAAUCCACCAGUGCUCUCACGCCUCCUCCUGAAGAGGGAGGCCGCCUGCCCCGGGCUACGGGCCUCCACAGCACCGUCAACGAGCCUCAUCCCAUGGGAGAGAUGGGGAAUGCGGUCCCCAGCGCUCCCACCAUGGCCCCCUCUCUCACUGGGCACCUCCCUCAUUCACCAUCUCGGUGCAGCAAACGGCAAGAGACUGAGGCUGUGCCCCCCAUCCAGCCCCGCAUAAAUCCAGCUCCUGACCUGGGCUCACGUGCAUGGCACCAGGCUAUUGCACUAUCAUUUUUCACUCUAUAUUUAGAUGUUUUAGGUGCAAUUUUACAGCUACAAAGUGAUAGUAGGCAGUGGAAAAUAAAUGCAAUUGCUUCACCACCAUCAGCCAGCAACAAAGUAUGUUCAGGGGCUCUCUCCUCCUUGUGAGGACCAAGUCUCUCAAAAAGGGCUUGAAUGAAGUAGUUUCUUGCUACUUGAACCUAGCCCGGCUGAAAUGCUGAUGUGCUAUUUGUCAGAAAACAAAGCCAGAUAAGAACAAAACCAAUUGCAUUUAGGUAAUUUGUUGCAAAUCCAAAAGAGUUUCAUUCUGGGUCAGUUGAACCAUUUCAGGGUGUGUAGCACAUGUUAAACUGUUUCCAAAUCCAUCCGUGCUGCCAGGCCUGUAUUUACCAUGGAAAAGGUGCUCCAGGAGACAGCCCCUGCCCUCCCUUUGCCCGUCUGGCCCCACUCGCUGUGGUGGUCGAGCACGUCACCUCCUAGAUGUUCCAGGAGGAGGUACCACGAGUGCACACACAGCACCACACACACACUCGAGCCAGCACACCCGCUCACCCCACGUGCUUUUGGGUAGUCCAGCUAAUUAUUUUCCAAACUGGAACUUGGCAUUUCCAUCCCUCCCCUUGCACAUGCUACCCACAGGAGCACCCUGAAAGCAGGGAGAGGAUCCCAGCCACCGCUGGAGCCCAGUUGUCCCAGGCUUCGCUCUGCUGGUGCCGUGGGAUCCUCCAUCCUGGUGAGAAGGGGUCUCCGUGCCCGCCUGCCACCUCCUCCCCACGUGGAAGCGGAGCCGCUUGCUCUGCAGCGCGCGGCCUCCGCUGCGGAGGGCUAUUUGUAGGCCUGUUUAUAUCGCGAGUGCUUGGUUGUGACUUGCUGUGUUUUGAUACUGUGGAAUUUCUCCCUCCUUUUC